This 422-nucleotide ribosomal RNA is filed under the name uncultured bacterium. Its description in RNAcentral is "bacterial SSU rRNA". It matches the Rfam family "Bacterial small subunit ribosomal RNA", at positions 362 to 775 of the family's 1533-position model. The record is from RNAcentral.
UCUUCCGCAAUGGACGAAGGUCUGACGGAGCAACGCCGCGUGAGUGAUGAAGGUUUUUGGAUUGUAAAACUCUGUUGUCAGUGAAGAACAAGUACCGUUCGAAUAGGGCGGUUCCUUGACGGUACCUAACCAGAAAGCCACGGCUAACUACGUGCCAGCAGCCGCGGUAAUACGUAGGUGGCAAGCGUUGUCCGGAAUUAUUGGGCGUAAAGCGCGCGCAGGCGGUUUCUUAAGUCUGAUGUGAAAGCCCCCGGCUCAACCGGGGAGGGUCAUCGGAAACUGGGGAACUUGAGUGCAGAAGAGGAGAGUGGAAUUCCACGUGUAGCGGUGAAAUGCGUAGAGAUGUGGAGGAACACCAGUGGCGAAGGCGACUCUCUGGUCUGUAACUGACGCUGAGGCGCGAAAGCGUGGGGAGCGAACAG